CAGAAAUGAAGGUUAUGAGUUUGGGCAUCUCAAAGUUGGUAAUUUCCAAUCAGCAGCUUAAGGACUUAUGCAGAGAGUGUAAGCAGUCAGCAAGGAACCAGGGAAAAUAAUAGUAGGGACACCAGACGUGCAUGCAAUAUUCCAGUAUCAAUUUCAUCAAUACUACGUACACAGUGACUUGGAUAAAGUGACAGAGUGCCUCCUCAGCAAGUCUGCUGGUGAUACAAAGCUGGGAGGAGUGAUUGAUGUAACGGAGUGCUGUGCUGCCUUUCAGAAGGAUCUCAA
RNAcentral lists this long non-coding RNA (285 nucleotides) under Gallus gallus (chicken). Lineage: Eukaryota; Metazoa; Chordata; Aves; Galliformes; Phasianidae. The record is from RNAcentral.